AUGGAAAUCUACUCCAAAGAAGAGGAGUAUUGGUGCCAGCGCGGAUCUAUGAACUGGGUAUUGUUUGGCGACGCCAACACUACCUACUUCCAGGCCAUCGCUAAUGGCCGGCGGCGGCGCUGCUCUAUUCCCCUGUUAUGGAAGGGAGGCUGGCUUUUACAGGAUCCCACAGCGAUCCGUUCGCUGGUUGAUGACAUUUAUAAGUCCCUCUUUACCGGACGCCCCCAGGGUGGGGUCGCCCUUGCUGACCACCUUUGAUCUUCUAACAAACAAAUCUCCCCCGAGGAGAAUGAUGCUCUCCUCGCCCCCUUUGAUGCCGUGGAGGUGGAGACGUUUGUCAAAUCGAUGAACCCGACCUCGGCUCCAGGUCCCGACGGCCUCCCGGUUCGCUUCUUCCAGGCCUUUUGGCCGAUGGUUAAGGACAUCAUUCUUGACUUAUUUCGCGAAUUCUCUCAGGGAACUUUAGACGUGUCUCGUCUCAACUAUGGGAUCAUCUCCCUGAUCCCAAUGGCUCCUGGUGCGGCGGACAUCCGGAAAUUCCGGCCUAUCACGGUCCUCAGUCUAUUUUGGAUCCUGGCCAAAGGGUACGCCACUAGGGAGGCCCUUGUAGCUCCUCGAAUCCAUCAUCCAAACCAAACGACCUUCACUAAAAGCUGA
This 657-nucleotide ribosomal RNA is filed under the name Triticum aestivum (bread wheat). Its description in RNAcentral is "partial small subunit ribosomal RNA". The record is from RNAcentral. Lineage: Eukaryota; Viridiplantae; Streptophyta; Magnoliopsida; Poales; Poaceae.